This 1336-nucleotide long non-coding RNA is filed under the name Triticum aestivum (bread wheat). Its description in RNAcentral is "long non-coding RNA (TAES_LNC010809)". The record is from RNAcentral. Lineage: Eukaryota; Viridiplantae; Streptophyta; Magnoliopsida; Poales; Poaceae.
CUAUGUGCAGUUGUAGCACAAUCAGGUCAGGGUGCUAGAAUAGUAAAAAGCUCAAGUGAUGGAAAAAAGAUGACACAUGGUGAUUGGAUGAGCUUCGCCUGCAUGCCCCUGCUGCAUCCCCAUGUCUCCAAGUGCAGGUAUUGGCUUCAUGCAGUUCUAUUUUUGCAUACAUGUACAUAAUGGACCACAACUUUGUCUAUUAGGAUGAAUUCUUGUACCUAAUUUACUACUGUUAGCUGCAUGGAUAAUGUGCUCAUAUAGUUUUGGAGAUCAUGGGGAUCAUAUGAUUACUUGUAGGGGACUAAGCGCAGAGAGGAUUGUCGAUCCUUGCCUGCAUAUACAUGCACCAUGGAUGUGUGCCAUAUGGCAUGAUGCACAACAUGCCAUUGAGACCACCGGAUCGUUGCUCAGUACAUCUGGUACAUUCACACGAACCUUCCUCCACUGUAGUGUCACCGCUGUUUGUCUCGUCUCUUGACUACGACACUUUGUACCACAAGAGCACAUCAGUAGCUUCAGGAUAGGGGGCAAUCCUAUUAUCCUUUCAUGAGUGAUGACCCACUACUUUCACCUUUUUGAAACCAAACAUUACACAAAUUGAUCCUGUGGCAUGUAAUAUUGUUAUCUUGUAUUAACAAAUCUAGCGUCAGCUCUGAUGAUACAAACAAAAUAAACAUAGAUGCUGAUAAGCUUAAUCAAUUUAACAGUUUAUCAUGGAUUAUAAAGCUUUCCUUUCCUUCAUCUUUUAUACUUUCUUUGGUUUGUCAUGGAUUAGUUGCAAAAACUUGUGAAAUACAAUUCAUUGUUUGUCUUUAUAGUUGGCAUGUGAUAUAUUUUCUCAAGUUCAUGACCGUGAUGCGCACAACUAACAUAUGAUUCACAUAUUGUUCCCUUUGGUCUUUACAUUAGCAAAGUUUCUCCCUGGCUUUCUUUAAAGUUCUAUUUUGGGCAUCCAUGCAUUUUCUCUUUGGUCAGUUUAAUCAAUUUACCCUUUUUCUUGAAACAGAUAAAUGUUGUACCUCUUGAACAUGUCAUCAUAGGAGUUCUCUUCUUUAUUGUAUUUAUGUUUAUUUUUGAAGAAAUUUCGUUCAGUGGUUAUGUUGUAUCUUAAUUAUGCUAUAAUAUUUGAAAGCACCAAAUAGUAUGAUGUAAUCCUCUAAGCAUGGUUGACAUACUUGCUUUGUCAUAUUUACUAUCAUAAAUUUCUUUCAAUGGGAUAUCUGGAAAUACUGUUUUCUAUGUGUUCCCAUUGGUGCCUGAAUAAUUUGUCACUCUUUCAAUGGGAUAUAUUUGUUGCUAAUGGUCAUUUAUAAAGAAUUAUAAAGCAUCCAUCUGU